CUACGGGUUGCUCCAGUGAGGAAUAUUGCACAAUGGGGGGAACCCUGAUGCAGCAACGCCGCGUGGAGGAUGACGCAUUUCGGUGUGUAAACUCCUUUUAUAUGUCAAGAAAAUGACGGUAGCAUAUGAAUAAGCACCGGCUAACUCCGUGCCAGCAGCCGCGGUAAUACGGAGGGUGCAAGCGUUACUCGGAAUCACUGGGCGUAAAGGACGCGUAGGCGGGUUGGAAAGUCAGGUGUGAAAUCCUACAGCUUAACUGUAGGAUUGCACUUGAAACUUCUAAUCUAGAGUAUGGGAGGGGGAGAUGGAAUUAGUGGUGUAGGGGUAAAAUCCGUAGAUAUCACUAGGAAUACCUAAAGCGAAGGCGAUCUCCUGGAACAUUACUGACGCUAAGGCGUGAAAGCGUGGGGAGCAAACAGGAUUAGAUACCCCGGUAGUC
RNAcentral lists this ribosomal RNA (439 nucleotides) under uncultured bacterium. RNAcentral describes it as "partial 16S ribosomal RNA". It matches the Rfam family "Bacterial small subunit ribosomal RNA", at positions 339 to 795 of the family's 1533-position model. The record is from RNAcentral.